Molecule: ribosomal RNA, 564 nt
Filed under: Triticum aestivum (bread wheat)
Lineage: Eukaryota; Viridiplantae; Streptophyta; Magnoliopsida; Poales; Poaceae
Description: partial small subunit ribosomal RNA
Source: RNAcentral
AUGGUAGUUGAUGCCCUGGCGUCCAUCCUUGAUAAGGCCAAGGAUGCUGGCCAUAUUCAUGGCAUUGUUCCUCACCUCGUCGGAGGGGGAGGGGUCUCCCUCCUCCAAUAUGCGGACGAUACCAUUAUUAUGGUGGAGGGCUCCGCCCUUGACAUCGCUAACCUCAAGUUCCUCCUCCUGUGCUUCCAACAGAUGUCAGGCCUAACCAUUAACUUCGAUAAGAGCGAAGUGAUGGUGCUCGGGUAGCACCCUGAGGAAGCACAAUCCAUAGCGGACCGCCUUAAUUGUAGGUUGGGUUCUUUCCCAACGACAUACUUGGGGAUCCCCAUUAGUGACUCAUGCCUCAUCGGGGCGGACCUCCGCCCCACGGUGACCCGUAUGCAACACCGUGUUGAACCCUGGAAAGGGCGUUGGCUGUCAAAGGCUGCUUAGGUGAUCCUCAUCAACUCUUCGCUCGCUAGCCUUCUAUGGUUCCUCAUGAGCUUCUAUAGCCUCCAUGAGACCCUCCAUCAGGAGAUCGCCAAGUACCAAUCCAGAUUCUUCUGGGCUGGCGAGGGGGAUAAG